This 378-nucleotide small RNA is filed under the name Arabidopsis thaliana (thale cress). Its description in RNAcentral is "ATSL195300". The record is from RNAcentral. Lineage: Eukaryota; Viridiplantae; Streptophyta; Magnoliopsida; Brassicales; Brassicaceae.
AAUUUUAUUCCUUGCUAUGGGCAAUAGAAUGCAUGAUCUCUAUUAGCGAUACUUCUGGCGCUUUUGCUUCCGACUGUUCAGACCUGAUUUCUAUCAUUAACAAUCAAGAAGAUUGGCCGACAUUCGCAGCGGAAUUGACAUCCUAUCGCUCCUUAGUUUAUUUUUCUCCUUCUUUUCGUAUUAGAUUUCUUCCUCGUAGUUCUAAUACUCGAGCAGAUUGUUUAGCUAAGAAAACUCGGGCUCGUAAUAGCCUUUUCUCCCAUGUAAGCACAUCGGUUCCUGAAUGAUUCUUUCUAGCGGAGAGUCUCUUUCCGAUAACUUAAUAUAAAUGGUGUUUGAUGAAAAAAACAAAUUAUCGUAAUGAUCCUAAAAAGGAGU